Molecule: long non-coding RNA, 444 nt
Organism: Aquila chrysaetos chrysaetos
Lineage: Eukaryota; Metazoa; Chordata; Aves; Accipitriformes; Accipitridae
Exons: 4
Source: RefSeq, a predicted model, not a curated record
AGUCAGGCUUUGGGUCAGUGCUGGUUGAAAGACGGGGCUGUCAGCAAUCCCUCCAAACUUUCUGGAGGUGUGAUUGACGGCUGGCUGACUCAGAGGGAAACAUGCCACCUACUGACUCUUGCAGCACCCGGGAUUUUCCCUGAAAACUAUUCAAAAAUUCACACGGAGCUUCACUGAUUUACGGACAGAAUCACCCAGAAAAGAGCUCUGUGCAAGGCCCUGCUGUGGAGAAGGUAUCUCUGACUACCUUCUGCCAAAAUCAAGUGAAGUCAAGUGGCCAGAAAGAUCACUUGCUACUGAUGUAGGGCUUGGCAGUGCCAGGUCCUUGGUAUCGGUGGCAGGAUUCAUGGCUACCCCUGUUCUGGAAGGGAUGAGAGGACUGAAGGACAGGACAUCACAGAGGAACUGGUGAAUUUAGAGAAAUGUCAAACACAGACAGAGGAG